Molecule: non-coding RNA, 32 nt
Filed under: Trypanosoma brucei brucei
Lineage: Eukaryota; Euglenozoa; Kinetoplastea; Trypanosomatida; Trypanosomatidae
Source: RNAcentral
ACGAGAUAAGACAUCACUUAGACUGUAGAGAU